Molecule: unclassified non-coding RNA, 277 nt
Filed under: Hevea brasiliensis (rubber tree)
Lineage: Eukaryota; Viridiplantae; Streptophyta; Magnoliopsida; Malpighiales; Euphorbiaceae
Source: RNAcentral
CUGGUAUUUGAUACAUCUUCAAUCUCAGCAAAUUCAUGGUGUGGAAACUCUAUCUUAGGUGGGUUUCGGGCUUUGAGUAUGCUUCUAUCUAGAAAUGGAGGGACCUUCAGAGGCAAGCCCCUGGCAGUUUCACCCCAUGAAUUCACAAAUUCCAUUGCACCAAUUCCAUCGAACAUACAGUGGUUCAUGCAUAGUCCAAGGACAAAUCCUCCACAUUUGAAUCUCGUCACCUGAGCCACCAGAGGAGGCAUCUGAAAUAUGUUCUGUGCACCCGGAA